Molecule: transfer RNA, 85 nt
Filed under: Spirochaetales bacterium
Lineage: Bacteria; Pseudomonadati; Spirochaetota; Spirochaetia; Spirochaetales
Also listed under: 1 other name
Description: tRNA-Leu
Rfam family: tRNA
About the family: Transfer RNA (tRNA) molecules are approximately 80 nucleotides in length.
Source: RNAcentral
GCCGAAGUGGUGGAAUUGGUAGACACAGGGGACUUAAAAUCCCCCGGCCUAUAAAGCUGUGCCGGUUCGAUUCCGGUCUUCGGCA